Glycine soja is the source of this 1672-nucleotide long non-coding RNA. RefSeq lists it as uncharacterized. NCBI's taxonomy places the organism in Eukaryota, Viridiplantae, Streptophyta, Magnoliopsida, Fabales, Fabaceae. The record is from RefSeq and is a predicted model, not a curated record. The transcript has 6 exons.
UCAUCUGAUUCAGCGUAUAAUACCCAAGAUUCAGAAUUACUUUGUUAAAGCCCUUACCAAGGCCAAUUCCAACAUCUUGCCGUAAUGUUAUAUUAUUGACAUCUAACCAGUUGCGAUGUACAUGAUGUGGUCACUACUGCAAAAGACAUUUACUACGACGUAGCAACAAAUACGGUUGGCCAAAAACGUCGUAGAAUCUUUAGAUUAUAAGUUCAAGGACGGUUAUUUUAAAAACCCGUCUUUGAAUUGUUAUGUUUUUCUCUCUCUCUUAUUUAUCUUCUCGGGUACACUGUUGCUGACCCUUCAUUUUCCACUCACCCUUCACUUUCCUCUCUCUCAUUGUUGCCUUGUAUCUCCCUUUUUCUUUGUCACAAACCCUAGCGUGGUCAGGUGCCGAAUCUCUGAGUUCGAGAGGCUCAGCUCCACCAGGGUCGGCACCAAUUCUUUCCUCCUCAACUCCUCUGCCCGCAGUUUGUUCUGCCUCCUCACCUCGCUCUUGCUCAGUGCCGCGAUGCCGGUCCCUGGAACCGACAUCGGUUUCAGUGGUGUGCUCCAGCUCGGCUCGAAGGUGUGCCCCAUUUGCCGCUUCGAGAGAUCAUGUGGGAACAGAACGUGAAUUUCAGAGGAGGAGGUAAGGGGUUUGGUGAUGCCGAGGCUGUGAAACUUCUUAGCGAUUCGUUCAAUGGUAGUGGAGAUCGACGGGUUCAGGUUUGAAUCUCGAGAGUGGAGCAACGAAUGUGGAAUCUGGUUUUGGAUUUGGGGAAUUGAAGAGGGGAAAAAUUCAAUGAAGAAGGAAAGGUGUAUUGAAAGUGGAUAUGAGUUGCAGGAAGCAAUAUUUCAGUAGCAGUUACUUACGUCAUGGAACAUGGAUGAAUAAAAAUACGAGGUCCCAAGAUUUCUGUUGACCUCACUGUCUAGUGUGGACGUACCUGUCUUAUGCUCUCCUGUGCUAUUUCAAAAUUCUGCUUUGUCUUCUCUUGACCUACUCGCUAUAUGUGAUUUUCCAUUGUUGGAAAAUAACAACUAAACACGUGAUGGAAUUGCUCGAAACAUAAUCAGGGCAGAGUAGUGGAAGUGUGAAUCUCAUUUGCUGAGUGUUGCUUCCCUUACAUGUAGUCACUCAGGUAAUUGGGCUUGUUUACAUUUCUCUUUGGCCUGUUAAUGCUAUUGUUGUUGUUCUUUGUCUGAGUCUGGUAUAUUGCUGUUGCUAUCAACUUACCCCAAAAUUUAUGCCUAUUUUAUACAAGGGUGAUAAAUAUCCACAUCAAAACAAUGCUAAGUGUCCAGAUGGAACUAGGGACUCCAAUUCCACCAAUUUUGCUAAUCUACUACUGGUUUGAAGUUUCUGUUGCAAGAGGAAUUAAACUUGGACUAACAUUUUUCUUCUCACGGCCUUGCAACAUAUAAGACAGAUAGCACAAGAAUCACGUGGAGUAAAUAAGUAUGGUGGUGGACGCCAACAUGCUUAAGAACAUUUACCCAGAGACUUUGUAGGGGCUUUAAUGAGGUCGUGAAUGGAUUAGUUGAUGAUGUAUGGUCAUUGAUGGGUAUUGAUGGAGUGGAAGAUGUGACUAUAGCCAUAAACUCAUCUCCAAACAAAUUGUGAACUAUGUAUUCCAAAUAAUUUUUUUUGGGUUAUAAGUAAAUUAAUUUAUGAGAUUUCAUGGAUAAA